RNAcentral lists this ribosomal RNA (1346 nucleotides) under uncultured bacterium. RNAcentral's name for it is "partial 16S ribosomal RNA". It matches the Rfam family "Bacterial small subunit ribosomal RNA", at positions 28 to 1381 of the family's 1533-position model. The record is from RNAcentral.
GACGAACGCUGGCGGCGUGCUUAACACAUGCAAGUCGAACGGAAAGGCCCUGCUUUUGUGGGGUGCUCGAGUGGCGAACGGGUGAGUAACACGUGAGUAACCUGCCCUUGACUUUGGGAUAACUUCAGGAAACUGGGGCUAAUACCGGAUAGGAGCUCCUGCUGCAUGGUGGGGGUUGGAAAGUUUCGGCGGUUGGGGAUGGACUCGCGGCUUAUCAGCUUGUUGGUGGGGUAGUGGCUUACCAAGGCUUUGACGGGUAGCCGGCCUGAGAGGGUGACCGGCCACAUUGGGACUGAGAUACGGCCCAGACUCCUACGGGAGGCAGCAGUGGGGAAUAUUGCACAAUGGGCGGAAGCCUGAUGCAGCAACGCCGCGUGCGGGAUGACGGCCUUCGGGUUGUAAACCGCUUUCGCCUGUGACGAAGCGUGAGUGACGGUAAUGGGUAAAGAAGCACCGGCUAACUACGUGCCAGCAGCCGCGGUGAUACGUAGGGUGCGAGCGUUGUCCGGAUUUAUUGGGCGUAAAGGGCUCGUAGGUGGUUGAUCGCGUCGGAAGUGUAAUCUUGGGGCUUAACCCUGAGCGUGCUUUCGAUACGGGUUGACUUGAGGAAGGUAGGGGAGAAUGGAAUUCCUGGUGGAGCGGUGGAAUGCGCAGAUAUCAGGAGGAACACCAGUGGCGAAGGCGGUUCUCUGGGCCUUUCCUGACGCUGAGGAGCGAAAGCGUGGGGAGCGAACAGGCUUAGAUACCCUGGUAGUCCACGCUGUAAACGGUGGGUACUAGGUGUGGGGUCCAUUCCACGGGUUCCGUGCCGUAGCUAACGCUUUAAGUACCCCGCCUGGGGAGUACGGCCGCAAGGCUAAAACUCAAAGGAAUUGACGGGGCCCCGCACAAGCGGCGGAGCAUGCGGAUUAAUUCGAUGCAACGCGUAGAACCUUACCUGGGUUUGACAUGGAUCGGGAGUGCUCAGAGAUGGGUGUGCCUCUUUUGGGGUCGGUUCACAGGUGGUGCAUGGCUGUCGUCAGCUCGUGUCGUGAGAUGUUGGGUUAAGUCCCGCAACGAGCGCAACCCUUGUUCACUGUUGCCAGCACGUUAUGGUGGGGACUCAGUGGAGACCGCCGGGGUCAACUCGGAGGAAGGUGGGGAUGACGUCAAGUCAUCAUGCCCCUUAUGUCCAGGGCUUCACGCAUGCUACAAUGGCUGGUACAGAGAGUGGCGAGCCUGUGAGGGUGAGCGAAUCUCGGAAAGCCGGUCUCAGUUCGGAUUGGGGUCUGCAGCUCGACCUCAUGAAGUCGGAGUCGCUAGUAAUCGCAGAUCAGCAACGCUGCGGUGAAUAAAUUCCCGGGGCU